Molecule: long non-coding RNA, 334 nt
Filed under: Homo sapiens (human)
Lineage: Eukaryota; Metazoa; Chordata; Mammalia; Primates; Hominidae
Description: non-protein coding lnc-NMNAT3-6:1
Source: RNAcentral
AUGAAGCUACUCACCCACAACCUGCUGAGCUCCCACAUGUGUGGGGUGAGGCCCUCUGGCUUUCCCAGGUGACUCUAGGCCACAGAGGUUCACAUCAACCCUACAGCAGUCAUCCUGACUUGGUGGCAUGUAUGGUACCCAACAUGAAGUGGGCAGUGCUUCUGAGGGUGGCCAAUAUCUUGCUUCUGGUUGAGGUGUUUAAAAGGCCAAUCUAAGGGUAAGAGCAUGAGGAGAAAUUUCUGAGGAAGAUGCACAAUGUGCUGCAGGAAUCUGUUCUUCAUUAGCCUCAGGAUCCCCCAAAAUGCUGCUGAAUGAUGAGGAAAUUGAAACUUAG